Molecule: long non-coding RNA, 79 nt
Organism: Empidonax traillii (willow flycatcher)
Lineage: Eukaryota; Metazoa; Chordata; Aves; Passeriformes; Tyrannidae
Exons: 3
Source: RefSeq, a predicted model, not a curated record
AUGAAGUAAAGAGGAAGAAGAAAUUCCUAAAUAUGAGGAGGAAGAAACCACCAGAUAUGAGAAGGAAGUAAUCCAUUAC